CCUACGGGAGGCAGCAGUGGGGAAUCUUGCGCAAUGGGCGAAAGCCUGACGCAGCCAUGCCGCGUGAAUGAUGAAGGUCUUAGGAUUGUAAAAUUCUUUCACCGAGGACGAUAAUGACGGUACUCGGAGAAGAAGCCCCGGCUAACUUCGUGCCAGCAGCCGCGGUAAUACGAAGGGGGCUAGCGUUGCUCGGAAUUACUGGGCGUAAAGGGAGCGUAGGCGGAUAGUUUAGUCAGAGGUGAAAGCCCAGGGCUCAACCUUGGAAUUGCCUUUGAUACUGGCUAUCUUGAGUACGGAAGAGGUAUGUGGAACUCCGAGUGUAGAGGUGAAAUUCGUAGAUAUUCGGAAGAACACCAGUGGCGAAGGCGACAUACUGGUCCGUUACUGACGCUGAGGCUCGAAAGCGUGGGGAGCAAACAGGAUUAGAUACCCUGGUAGUCCACGCUGUAAACGAUGAGUGCUAGUUGUCGGCAUGCAUGCAUGUCGGUGACGCAGCUACGCAUAAGUACACUCCGCCGUCGGGUACGGUACGGUCGGCGAGAAGUUAAACUUAAAGUAGUAGUAGACGNGUGAGACGUGCGACGGACGACGACGAGGGAGGAGG
Molecule: ribosomal RNA, 604 nt
Filed under: uncultured bacterium
Lineage: Bacteria
Description: bacterial SSU rRNA
Rfam family: Bacterial small subunit ribosomal RNA (bases 1-517)
Source: RNAcentral